CAACUUUUAAAGGACAGGAAGUUCUAAGCCAUUGGCCUUAGAAGCCAAACUCCU
This 54-nucleotide transfer RNA is filed under the name Saara asmussi. RNAcentral's name for it is "partial tRNA-Leu". The record is from RNAcentral. Lineage: Eukaryota; Metazoa; Chordata; Lepidosauria; Squamata; Agamidae.